UUGCCUUCCCGUCGUGUGGAAAAAUUCGUCAGACAGCCCCGCACCUGUCCUCCUUGUGGCUUUGCGGCUGCAAUGCGGACCUCGAAGGCAGUCCCCGUGUCCCGGACAUAUCCUCUGACUUUUGUCGUGGCUGUCUCGGUCCACAGGACAACUGCUCGUGCUCUCGGAUGUGGAAAAUUAAGCGGACGUGGGGGGGUCUUGGCCUCCGGUUGCUCCAAUCAAGUCCCUCGAUAAGAAUGACUCUCGCUACCUCAUUGAUCGCAGGCCGUCUAGGCCCGUGGCAUCAAUGAUGGUCCGAAGUCGAUAACGAAUGCUACCUGGUUGAUCCUGCCAGUAGUCAUAUGCUUGUCUCAAAGAUUAAGCCAUGCAUGUGUAAGUAA
RNAcentral lists this unclassified non-coding RNA (380 nucleotides) under Ficus cordata subsp. salicifolia. RNAcentral describes it as "partial contains external transcribed spacer and 18S ribosomal RNA". The stretch from base 315 to 380 matches the Rfam family "Eukaryotic small subunit ribosomal RNA", at positions 1 to 66 of the family's 1831-position model. Lineage: Eukaryota; Viridiplantae; Streptophyta; Magnoliopsida; Rosales; Moraceae. The record is from RNAcentral.